CGCACAUUGCGCCCUUUGGUACUCCGAAGGGCAUGCCUGUUCGAGCGUCAUUUCACCUCUCAAGCCUGGCUUGGCAUUGGGCGUCGUGGGUCACCGCGCACCUUAAAGUACUUCGGCUGAGCGGCUCGUCUCUAAGCGGUGUGGCAACUAUUCGCGGUGAGAUCGGGUGGCGGCGGCCGUGAAAUCUGUCUCAAAGGUUGACCUCGGAUCAGGUAGGGAUACCCGCUGAACUUAA
Molecule: unclassified non-coding RNA, 235 nt
Filed under: Mycosphaerellaceae sp.
Lineage: Eukaryota; Fungi; Ascomycota; Dothideomycetes; Mycosphaerellales; Mycosphaerellaceae
Description: partial contains 5.8S ribosomal RNA, internal transcribed spacer 2, and large subunit ribosomal RNA
Source: RNAcentral